GCGCGCAAUAUCAGUGAUUUUUUACACUAGUCAAACACGUUCUAUACGCGCGCUAACAGCUCCAAGCAAGCGCGAAUAAUUGUUGCAAUUUAGAAGAUGUAACAAAACGUUACUGUACUGAUGAUUGACACAGUAAGAUACACUGAAAAAGAUGCAUGCAAAAGAUUCACACAUAACAUAUUAUAAAUGAAUAAGACAUACGAUAAUCGACGUUAAUAAUUAAAGAAGCUAUACAUUGUAAAACGUUAAUAAAAACUAUAAAACUAUAUAUCAGUGAAAACUUUAAAAAAGACUUUGAACAACAGUUUUGGUUUCAAAUUCAGUUGUAAAAUUUAUAUAAUUACUUUAGUAAUUUUAUAAAUUAAUUAGCAUCUUGACUGAAGCAUGUGACAUGUGAUACGUUAUACAUUAUUGCUGUAAAUUUUCGAUGAUUAGUAACAAUUCAGUUCUAAACAAUGGAUGAUUAAUAAGUCCGCCGCCCACGAGAAUACAUGAAUUACGUCAUUGUUCGUCGUGUCUCGUCAGGUAUAGUAAAUACCGCAGUUAAAGCACGUAAGCCAAACGAUUGGGUUUUCCUGACUGACACCAAAUUUUGUCGCUCGGCUGAGCUGCACAGGUAAUAGGCAUCAACCAAAUCAUUGUUUUUUUGCGUCAUGUAUCUUUCUGAGCAUCAAGUUAUUAAUUAAACCGUCAAUUAUUAAAUCAUUGAUUGAUAUGAUAAAAGCUGACACAAACUUGCCUUGGUUGUAUCAUGGGGAUUCCCCGAAGUUAAAAUGCACGAUUAGUCCCUCAUGGACCAGUUGACAUGAAAUUGCAACUUGAAUUAAAGAUUAGAAAGUUAUUAGCUGAAAAACUCACUCAUAUAGGAAUCAAGCAGCUCAUUCACGUUCGUCAUUCGUCGCAUAUUAUGACGCAGAUGGAAAUAACGAACUACUAUCACAAAGUGAAGAUCGGACGCCCAUCACGUAUACGAACAUCUAUGUGCGCUUAUGAUUAGCAACGAGGCCGACCGUAUUAUCGUCAAAGAUAAUUGUUUAUUUUCCGGUCGCUUGCAAAUCUACUUGGAACGAAAUCGAGCUCCGUUUGAUUAUUCAACUAAUUCUGAGAGUUUUGGGCGUUACCCAAAGAUUUCUACAAGCAGUUGUUAAUUCAUCGAUGGCCAGUCAUUGAACCUGACCUUGAAGAACCGGAACGAUACAGGUUUCGCAAGAAGCUGGAAGAUAGAAUCUGUGAAAUAGCAUCGUGUUUGUGACUGGUUAAAUCGACUACUGCUUCGUGCUAAUUGAUUGACUGCAAGCAUUACUAAUUUACAAUAACUGAUCCCUGGGCUAAAUGUAAGCAAUAUUAUUUAAUAAUUUUCCAAAAUAUUCGACGAAAUAUCAUCUGUAAAGCACUUUAAAUUUUUAUAAAAGAUUAUAAUGUUAUAAAGAUGUUAAUACUGUAAAAAACCGUAGCAGCCAAGUUUAAACAUUACAUAGGAUCAAACUUUUAAUUUAAACUUUAAGAUUAAAUGUCUUGCAAAAAAAUUAAAUAUUUUAACUAUAUAA
Molecule: long non-coding RNA, 1547 nt
Organism: Wasmannia auropunctata (little fire ant)
Lineage: Eukaryota; Metazoa; Arthropoda; Insecta; Hymenoptera; Formicidae
Exons: 4
Source: RefSeq, a predicted model, not a curated record